GCCAAUCAGGACCUUGAUCUGCGCCCUGAUCGGGGGCGCUCACCCUAUCAAUGGGUGGUGGGCCCCUGUCGCGCUGCGCUAUAUAAAUAGGGUGGGGGGACCCGGCUCGGCUCACGAGGUUCGCCGUAGCCUGCCGCCCCCACCGACACACACCUACCGAUCUAGGUUGCGCAGUAGCGGCGGGAAGCACCACCACCACCUCAUCGCCGACCGGAGUCGGCACUGCGCGUCGCUGCCUUGCGCAGACUCCGUCAACAGAACCCGCGAUGGCCAGCAGCUCUGCUGCUCCCACCUCUAGGGGUGAAGGUACCCCAAUUCUCUCACUCUCACACUAGGCACUCACCAGGAACUCCUUGCCCCCUCAUGUCUCUCUCGAACCCGACUAGAUGUGCUCUAGUGAUCCUAGGCUAGGCCCUAACAAUGGUAUCAGACACCUCCUAGCAGCUAUUCUAGAUCGGGAAAAAGCAGUAGAUCGAGAAAAGAACGACGAUCGAAAAAGACACAAAAAAAAAGAAACCCUAACCCUAACCCUAGAUCUAAAGAAAGGGAGACGCGGGAACACUUACCUGCUGUCGCCUUCACCGCCGCCGGCCAUCGCCGGCGAGUGGCAAAGGCCGGCCGAGCCUCGGGCUCGCCGGAGAAAAGGCUCACCCGAGCCGCCGGAGCAUCCGCUCGGGGCUCGGGGAGCGCAAAAGCACCACCACAGGACCGCUCGACGGCGGCGCGCCCAACCCUCGGGGUGGACGCGCGCGCCGGCGAGGGGACCCGCGGUGGCGCCGCCCCUUUUCUCCAUCUGGAUCUCGAACCUUCGGUUUUUGGAGGGAGGAAGGGGGGAAGGCUAGAAAAGAAGGGGAGGAGGGGGCUGCCGCGGCCGUGCGCCUGCGGGGCCAUCCCUCCACCGCCGCCGCCGGCCAUCGCCGGGCGCGGGAGAGACGGCCCCGCCGCCGCCGCCGCGGCGAGAGCGCGCGGGGGGAAAAGAUGGAAAGUGACUAGGGUUUCGGGGGGAGCCGGCGUUCCGCCGGUUUUGUUCCGCCGAAAAUGGCGCCUGGCCGUCGGAUCUGGACGGGCGGUCGGGAUUGUCCGGGCCAGAUUCGGCCCAGGCGGGAUGCGGCGGCAGGCCGCUUUCGCGGCCCAGGCCCAGGUUGCGGCCUGCGCGCGCGCGCCGCGCGAGAGGCCGGCGUCAAGCCGCGUUAGCGGGCCGGCUGCGUCGCGCGUUAGCGGGCCGCCUGCGUCGCGUGAGCGGGCCGCGCGCGGGAACGGGCUGUGGGCCGUUUUCGCGCGUGGGCCGUAUUUCGCGAUUUGCACAGUAACUUCUGUUUUUUGUUUUUUCUAUUUCCAGAAGCAUUUAAUUGAUGUUUUUUUGCAUAGUUUUAGUCUCUAAUCUAAUUUGAACCAACGGGAUAAUUUGUAUUAGAGAUUAAUAAAGUUUUGUACAGUGUUUUGCUUCUGAAAAUAGAUUUAUUUCACAGUUUCCGCUGCAAAAGUCAUAUUUAUUGCUCCAUUUAAAUUUAAUUUGAACCAACGAGACAAUUAAAUUUUGUGAGAGCAUGAUAAAGUUAAUUAGAUCAUGGUGCUGUUAUUUUCUGACCAACGUUGUUAAUAACUGUAUCAUGAUUUAAAAAGUUCUUUUGAUGCUUUUAUUUCUAUUUCUGCCCAACGGUGAUAUAGUUUUAAAUUGCAUCAACAGUUGUAUGUUUUAUUUUUUGACCAACGUUGGAAAUGAAUCAUGCAAUUGUCGUUAUGAUCUCACUUAUGGAUUGUGAAUUUCAGGAUCAUUCAACUUAAUGGUGUGUCUCAAAGAGAUACCCAUUCUCAAAGGCAACAACUACACAGAAUGGAGGAAGAAGAUUGAGUUCUCCUUCGUUUGUGGAGAAGUUGUCUGGGUGCUGACCACACCACAGCCACAAGCUCCACAGAAGCCAGUGAGGGCUGAUGGUGAUGAUGAUGCUGCAUGGCAGCAAAAGGAAAGGGACUAUGCUCCACUGGAGUUGGCAUACACCCUUGAAAACAAACAGUGGACCACUGCCAACAAGAAAUGUAUGGCUUUGGUAAAGAAUACGAUUGAGCCUGCCAUUUUGGGCUCGAUCGCAGAGUGUGACUCUGUUUCAGAGUACCUCGACAAGAUAAGGAAUCAGUUCACUGGUUCCUCAAAGAUAUAUGCUACCCAGCUGUUCAAGCAGCUGGCCACAGAGAGGUACAAUGGCGGAGGGACUGGCAUAAGAGAUCACAUCAUGAGGAUGUAUAACUUGGCAGCACAGCUGAAGCCUAUGGAUCUUGAGCUCAAGCCUGGGCACAUUAUGCAUUUGGUUUUUGCUUCUCUGCCUAAAGAGUUUGACACUUUUGUUGUCAAUUACAACAUGCAGCCAGAACAGUGGGACAUGGAGAAAAUGAUCGCCAUGUGCGUGCAGGAAGAGGACAGACUUCGAUCCUCACAUGGUGGCUCAUUGCACUAUGUGAAGGAUAACAGGAAAAAGAUUGCUAACCCCUCUUUCAAGGCACGUGGAAAAGCUCCUAUGCAGCAGAAUCACCAAAAGCCUCUCCCAGUAGACAAAGAUCAAUGUCUACAUUGCAAGAAAAAGGGGCACUUCAAGAAAGACUGCCCCGACUGGUUAAAGUCAAUAAUGGCAAAAAGAGGUGAGAAUACUAUUUCUUUUGUAAAUGAAUCCUUGUAUACACAGUAUUCGAAAUCUACUUGGUGGAUUGACUCAGGUGCAACUGUUCAUGUUGCAAAUUCUUUACAGGGAUUCCAUUCGACGAGGACUACGCAAAGAAGCGAAAGAUGCGUUGAAGUCGCAAAUGGAGUCCAAGCAGAAGUUGAAGCUGUUGGCGAUGUCUCUUUAGAGCUAGUUGAUGGUUUCAUGCUUGUACUUAAAGAUGUGCUUUAUGUUCCCUCAUUACACAGAAACUUAAUAAGUAUUUCACGUUUGGACCAUGAUGGUUAUGAAUGUCAUUUUGGUAAUGGAAAGUGUGCCAUUUGGUUCGAUAAUGCAUGUGUUGGUGUUGCCAUCCUUCACAAUGAGUUGUAUUUAUUAUCAUUGCGUGAAAAAGUUAAUUCUGUGUGUGAUGUGAAUAUGAAUGUAUCCUCGUCAGAGAAAGAAACAAAGAAAAGAAAGAGAACUCAUGAAAUAUCGUCGAAAUUAUGGCACUGUCGUUUAGGCCAUAUUUCGAGGGGGAGAAUAGAAAGACUAGUUAAGAAUGAAAUUCUUCCCCAAUUAGAGUUCUCAGACUUAGAACAAUGCGUUGAUUGCAUUAAAGGAAAAUUUGUAAAGCAAAUUAAAAAAGGCGCUAAACGUAGCACAAGAAUUUUAGAGAUAAUCCACACUGAUAUUUGUGGACCUUUUCCUGUGAAAAGUGUAGAUGGCUAUGACUUGUUCAUAACAUUCACAGAUGAUUACUCCCGUUACGGUUAUAUUUAUCCAAUCAAAGAAAGAUCAGAAGCGUUGGAUAAAUUUAAGAUAUUUAAAGCUGAAGUUGAAAAUCAGCAUAACAAAAGAAUCAAAAUAGUAAGAUCCGACCGUGGGGGGGAGUACUAUGGUCGGCAUACCCCAUUCGGCCAAGUUCCUGGACCUUUUGCAAGGUUUUUGCAGGAAAAUGGCAUAGUAGCCCAGUAUUCAAUGCCGGGCGAACCUCAGCAAAAUGGAGUAGCUGAAAGGCGUAACCGUACACUGAUGGAUAUGGUGCGCAGCAUGAUGAGCUAUUCCACCUUACCAUUGGGACUGUGGAUGGAGGCGCUGAAGACCGCCAUUCACAUUCUUAAUAGAGUACCAAGUAAGUCGGUGCCCAAAACACCGUACGAACUAUGGACAGGAAGAGUACCCUCACUAAACCACUUACGUGUGUGGGGGAGCCCAGCUGAGGCCAAAGUGUUUAACCCAAACAUCGGGAAACUAGAUCCCAAAACAGUAAGUUGCCACUUCAUUGGCUAUCCGGAAAAAUCAAAGGGUUUUCGUUUCUACUGUCCAGACAGAUUCACAAAGUUUGUAGAAACGAGACAGGCGAUUUUCUUAGAGGAUGAGAUGGUGAGGGGGAGCAUGGUAGCUCGAGAAAUUGAUCUUGAGGAGAAGCGGGUGUGUGCACCUAAUCCGAUGAUUCAGGAACCAUACUUCUCACUACCUAUUAUUCCCGCACCGAUAGUUCCUGAGGUCGUGGUGCAAGCACCUGCUACAGUCCCUGAUAUUGUGGUGCAGGCACCUACUGUAAUUCCACCCGUGGAAACGAUGAGUGAAGUUUUGGAACCUGUCCUUCAGGAGCCAACUGAACCCAUCAUUGCACACGAGGAAGAGUUGCAGCAGCCACCUCAGAAUAGUGUGCCACAAGCAGAGGCACAGAAUAUGACUGAAAGUGAGGGGCCUAGAAGGUCUCAAAGAGUCAGAAAAUCAGCCAUCCCUGAUUGUUAUAAAGUUUAUAAUACAGAAGAAGUUCAUAUAGAAGGUGAUCCCACUUCAUAUGAAGAAGCCAUGAAAAGUGUUCACUCAUCGAAGUGGCUAGAGGCCAUGGAAGAUGAGAUGAAAUCGAUGAGUUCCAACAAUGUUUGGGAACUUGAGGAGAUUCCUAAAGGAGCCAAAACAGUAGGCUGUAAAUGGGUCUACAAGACUAAACGUGACUCCAAAGGGAACAUAGAAAGGUAUAAGGCGAGACUUGUGGCAAAAGGUUUUACACAGAGAGAAGGAAUAGAUUAUAAUGAGACUUUUUCUCCUGUCUCAUGUAAAGACUCCUUCAGAAUCAUAAUGGCACUAGUUGCACAUUUUGAUUUAGAGUUACAUCAGAUGGAUGUAAAAACGGCUUUUCUAAAUGGGGAUUUGGAAGAAAAUGUCUACAUGAAACAACCAAAGGGUUUUGUCAUGGAAGACAAAGAGAAUAUGGGAUGUCGUCUAAAGAAAUCCAUUUACGGAUUAAAGCAAGCCUCUAGACAGUGGUAUCUAAAGUUUAAUGAUAUAAUAAAGAAAUUUGGGUUUCAAGAGAAUAUAGAGGACAAUUGUGUCUAUGCAAAGUUCAAGAAUGGGAAAUACAUUUUCCUAAUCCUGUAUGUGGAUGAUAUUUUACUUGCAAGCAGUGAUAUCAGUCUACUGCAAGAGACAAAGAAGUUCUUGUCCUCAAACUUCGAUAUGAAGGAUCUUGGUGAAGCAACAUAUGUUUUGGGCAUAGAAAUUCACCGAGAUAGAUUGAAUGGGGUUCUAGGGUUAUCGCAAAAGGCAUAUUUAGAAAAGGUUCUAAAGAAGUACAAUAUGCAUGCGAGUAAGGCCACACCUGCUCCUAUAGUCAAGGGUGAUAGUUUUGGGAAUUUUCAAUGUCCCAGGAACCAGUACGAGAUCGAUCAAAUGAAAGCGGUUCCAUAUGCUUCAGCUGUCGGAAGCUUACAGUAUGCCCAAGUGUGCACUCACCCUGACUUAGCUUUUGUCACCGGGGUUCUCGGUAGAUAUCAAAGUAAUCCAGGUAUAGAACACUGGAAAAUGGUAAAGAAGGCGUUACGCUACGCGCAAGGCACAAAAGAACUCAUGCUUACAUAUAAGAGAUCUGAUUCCCUAGAGAUAAAAGGGUAUUCAGAUGCAGACUUUGCGGGAGACAAAGAUGAUAGAAAAUCCACGUCUGGAUAUGUAUUCAGUCUCGCAGGAGGAGCUAUCUCAUGGAGAAGCUCGAAACAGAAAGUAACUGCGUCAUCAACGAUGCAUGCAGAAUUCAUAGCAUGUCAUGAGGCCACGGGGCAGGCAAUGUGGCUAAAGAAAUUUAUACCCGGAUUGAGAGUGGUUGACUGUAUUCACAGACCACUAAAGAUGUACUGCGAUAAUGAACCAGCAGUAUUCUAUGCUCACAACAACAAAUCAAGCAAUGCUUCCAAAGCCAUUGAGAUAAAGUUUUAUGUUGUGAAAGACAGAAUCCAGGAUCACACUAUAAGUCUCGAGCAUAUAAGAACAAAAGAUAUGCUUGCGGAUCCGCUAACGAAAGGCUUACCUCCCAAUGUGUUCAGAGAACACUUAGCCGGCAUGGGUUUAAGGGAAAGCCUAUGAUUCCUGGAUUGGAUAAGGCCCAAAAGAAACAGAAUUGUUUCAAAAUAGAGAGGUGUGUUGUAGCUGUUGAUUCUAUCGGCAAUUAAGCUGUGACGAUGAAACAUGCUCUACAUAUUAAUCUACGAUGAAACGAAUAAAAGUGAAAAGUGUAAAGCUAAAAGUAAAUGAUGAGAUCAAGGGGGAGAAUGUUAGAUUGAUCUCUUUCCCGAUUGGCCCAAAGGCCAAUCAGGACCUUGAUCUGCGCCCUGAUCGGGGGCGCUCACCCUGGGCGCUCACCCUAUCAAUGGGUGGUGGGCCCCUGUCGCGCUGCACUAUAUAAAUAGGGUGGAGGGACCCGGCUCGGCUCACGAGGUUCGCCGUAGCCUGCCGCCCCCACCGACACACACCUACCGAUCUAGGUUGCGCAGUAGCGGCGGGAAGCACCACCGCCACCUCACCG
This 6444-nucleotide long non-coding RNA is filed under the name Setaria italica (foxtail millet). RNAcentral's name for it is "long non-coding RNA (SITA_LNC004351)". The record is from RNAcentral. Lineage: Eukaryota; Viridiplantae; Streptophyta; Magnoliopsida; Poales; Poaceae.